UUCCAUUUGCUUCGCAAAAUUCUAGAAACUCCCUUGACGUGAAUUCUCCGCCUCGAUCGGACCUUAGGGCCUUGAUUUGUCGUCCGCUCUCCUUCUCGACGGUAGCUUUGAAUUUCUUGAAUGCAUCAAAUACUUCUGACUUCUGCUUCAAGAAAUAUACCCACGUUUUUCUUGAAAAAUCAUCAAUGAAUAGCAGAAAAUAAUUAUUUUUAACCCAGGGAGCUUGGAUUUAUCGGCCCACACACAUCAGCAUGAAUCAACUCCAGUGGCUUUUGAGCUCUUGAGCUUGACUCCUUUGGGAAUGGCUUUCUGAACUGCUUCCCGAGUAGACAACCUUCGCAGAGUUGAUCGGGAUGCUUGAUGGAUGGUAGUCCUCUCACCAUCUCCUUCUUUGACAAUAACUCCAAUCCACCAAAGUUCAAGUGCCCAAACCGAAGAUGCCACAACCAAGACUUAUCUUGGUAACACGCUUUCAGGCAUUUUGCCACGUCAUUUCGAAUAUUCAAUAAGAACAUUCUAUUUUUAGACAUUGGCACAUUGGCAAUAAGAUUAUUUUUGUCAUCUCUUAUUGAAAGGUUAUAAUCUCUCAUGUGAAUAUCAUAACCUUUCUCUAAGAGUUGUCCCAAACUCAAGAUAUUAUUUUUCAUAUUGGGCACGUAAUAAACGUUGGAAAUAAAUUCAUGAUUUCCAUUCUUCAAGCGAAUUAAAUUUUCCUUUUCCUUUAACUGGAAUUUUAGAUUCAUCACCAAAGGAGACGUUGCCACUUACCGACUCAUCGAGCUCCACGAACAUGUUUCUCUUCCCGCACAUGUGAUUGCUAGCACCAGUGUCGAGGUACCACGUGUCAUCUUGUCUUCCGGCUUCUCCUUUAUAUGCCAGAAGCACACUACCAAUAUCUUGAUUUGCAUUUUCGGCAUAAUUGGCCUUCUCUUCGAUUCUUAAUUUUUCACUUCUGCACUCGGAAGCAUAGUGCCCAAAUUUAUGGCAAUUAUAACAUUUUAUUGAAGAUUUAUCGUACCUCGACGGCGGGUUGCUCCUCCCCCGACCACUUGUAAACUCAUUUCUUUCACUACUGUUGACGAAGCCUCCUCGUCUUCGUCCACGUCCACGUGCUCGGCCUCUGCCUCGAUCUUGCGCUUGGCCACGUCCUCUCCCGGACUGUCCAUAGCCAUUGCUCGGACCUUCUUCUUUCUCUUUCGGGCUUACUUGCAACUUUAAAAGUUGCUCUGAAAUUUCUUGCUUCUCUUUUGCUUCUCCUCAUAUGCUUGCAACGACCCCAACAAGAGAUCGAUUGUCAUCUCCUCCAAAUUUUUAGUUUCUUCGAUCGUCACCACAAUGUGCUCAAACUUUGAGGUUAGUGACCGUAAUAUUUUCUCCAUAAUUCUUACAUCCUCCAAUUUUUCACCAUUUCUUUUCAUUUGAUUAGAAACCGCCAAGACUCUUGAAAAAUAAUCCGAAAUCGAUUCGGACUCUUUCAUAUGCAAAGACUCAAACUCUCCUCUUAAAGUUUGAAGUCGUACAUUUUUUACUUGCUCCGCUCCUUUGCACGCGUUCUGGAGCUUCUCCCACGCUUCCUUGGCGGUACUCGCAUUCGAGAUCUUCUCGAAAUCGUCAUCCCCCAGUGCUUGAUAAAUGAGACAGAGAGCCUUCUUGUCUCUCUUUCUCGCAUCUCGCAAUCUAUCCUUUUGUUGUUGGGAUAGUGCGGCCUCGUCCUGCGGCUCCUCGUAGCCACUAUCCACGAUCUCCCAAACGUCGUGGGCUCCCAAUAGCGCCUUCAUCUUGAUGCUCCAAUUGUCGAAGUUGCUCUUGUUGAGCAUGGGGACUUGAAACGAUUGUAAAUUCGCCAUACCACAAGUAGAAUCUUGUGGCUCUGAUACCACUUUGUUGGAAAUAUGGAAAAUAUAUAUGUGGGAGAAUUAAUUAAUUUGGAGGGAUUGAUUGGAUGGAUGACUUUAUAUUAAAGGUAAUAGUGUUUGGAAAUGUGGACGUGUGUGUUAGGAAAAGCAAGGAAAUAUUUUAUUUCUCCACUAAUCACUUUUUCUUCACAUCGCAAAUUGAAAUGAUACAAUACAUAUUUAUAAUGUACAAUGUCGGUUAUUUCUUCAAUGACCGACUUAACUUAUGGUUUAAAAUAGUCUCUAGAAUUUUCUUCUAAUUUCCUUCACUUAGUAGGUUUUUCUAGAAUACUCUAUAUUUUUCUUUUUCUUUCUUUUAUUUUAUUUGAUUCUAGAUUUUUCCUUCUACAAAUCAAGUUUAAUAAUUUAUUAUUCCAACACCAAGCUCUUCCAGUAAACUUCGUAGCCAAACUGCAUGACAAACACUGGAUGUAGCAGCCACAUAUUCAGCUUCACAAGUUGAUAGCGUGACUAUGGGUUGCUUCUUGGACAUCCAGGUGAAAGCAGUGUCUCCCAUAAAAAACACGAAUCCGCUCGUACUCUUGCGGCCAUCAUUAUCUCCAGCCCAAUCGCUAUCACUAUAGCCAACAAGCUUAUAAUCAUGAGUAUUUGAAUAGAAUAGGCCGUAGUUGAGCGUACCUUUGAGGUAGCGAAGAAUUCUCUUUGCCGCCUUAAAAUGCGUAGUGGUUGGAUUCUCCAUAUAGCGACUCACGAGUCCUGUCGCAUAAAGAAUGUCCGGCCUUGUGCAAGUUAAGUACCGUAAGCUUCCAACCAAGCUCUUGAACAAUGUCGGGUCCACCUUUUCUCCUCCAUCGUUCUUGGAUAAUUUUAUCCCGCAUUCCACUGGCGUGUUGAUUGCUUUGCAGCCCUCCAUCUUGAACUUCUUGAGGAUUUCCUUGGCGUAUCCUUCUUGUGUGAUGAAGAUCCCAUCUUCGAGUUGCUUGACUUCCACGCCGAGGUAGUACGCCAUCAGCCCAAUGUCUGUCAUCUCAAACUCCUUUGACAUGGCCUUCUUGAACUCCUCAAUCAUCUUUGGAUUAUUUCCUGUGAAAAUCAAAUCAUCUACAUACAAGCACACAAUUAAGACAUCUCCUCCGUUGGCUUUCACGUAGAGAGCAUGCUCGUGAGGGCAUUUGGUGAAACCAUUCUCCUCCAAGUACUUAUCGAUCCUGCUAUUCCAUGCCCUUGGUGCUUGCUUUAAUCCAUAUAGGGCCUUCUUUAACUUCAAGACUUUAUCUUCUUGCCCUUUUACCUCGUAGCCCAUUGGUUGCUUGAUAUAGACUUCUUUGUCUAUAUACCCAUUCAAGAAGGCUGACUUGACAUCCAUUUGAUAAAUCUUCCAUCUAUUUUGGGCUGCAAGAGAGAGUAUUAGUCUAAUAGUUUCUAAGCGAGCGACGGGAGCAAAUACCUCAUCAUAAUCGAUUCCAGCUCUUUGACUAUAUCCUUUCACGACGAGCCUCGCUUUAUAUCUUUCCACUUCACCUUUGGAAUUCUUCUUAACUUUAUACACCCACUUGACUCCAAUGGCCUUGUGCCAUUUUGGUAAUGUCACGAGCUCCCAUGUAUCAUUCUUCUUUAUGGCUUUGAUCUCUUCAUCCAUCGCGACUCGCCAAUUUUCACUGUUUGCUGCUUCAGGUUCAUAAUCAGCAGAUAGGCAAAACAAGGUGAGAUCUUCUAACCUUUCAGUAUCCUCAUAAAUCUCGUCCAAACUCCUUGCUCGUGGUGUGGCUCUUUCAUUUAAGAAAGAUGGUGGCGAGUCUUCAGUGACUGGUACUGGUGAAGCUGGUGGAGUCACUGGCUCUUGUUGGACUUCUCCAACUUGCUCUUCUGCUCUUUGUUCUUCUAACUGUGGGAUGUAGGUGAAGUCACCGUUGGAGCUGAAAUCCCAGACUCCUUCUUCGUCGAACUCCACGUCUCGACUUAUCACUGUUUUCUUGGUAUUUGGAUUAUAUAACUUAUAGCCUUUAGAGUUAGAGUCGUACCCGAUAAAGAUGAAUGCUUCACUUUUAUCAUCGAGCUUCUUCCUUCUCUCAUCUGGUACAUGCACGUAGGCUUUGCUUCCAAAUACCUUUAGGUGGGAAAUUCCUGGCUUUCUCCCGCUCCAGGCUUCUUGUGGAGUCAUUCCCCACACGCUCCUUGUCGGCGAUCGGUUGGAUAGGUACACCGCGCACGCCACUGCUUCGGCCCAAAACUCUUUAGGCAGAUUCUUCGUCUUUAGCAUGCUCCUCGCCAUCUCCAUGAUUGUUCUGUUUUUUCUUUCCGCCACUCCAUUUUGUUGGGGGGAUCUCGGAACUGUCAGGGGCCGUCGAAUUCCAUUUGCUUCGCAAAAUUCUAGAAACUCCCUUGAUGUGAAUUCUCCACCUCGAUCGGACCUCAGGGCCUUGAUUUGUCGUCCGCUCUCCUUCUCGACGGCAACUUUGAAUUUCUUGAAUGCAUCAAAUACUUCUGACUUCUGCUUCAAGAAAUAUACCCACGUUUUUCUAGAAAAAUCAUCAAUGAAUAGCAGAAAAUAAUUAUUUUUACCGAGGGAGCUUGGAUUUAUCGGCCCACACACGUCAGCAUGAAUCAACUCCAGUGGCUUUUGAGCUCUUGAGCUUGACUCCUUUGGGAAUGGCUUUCUGAACUGCUUCCCGAGUAGACAACCUUCGCAGAGUUGAUCGGGAUGCUUGAUGGAUGGUAAACCUCUCACCAUCUCUUUCUUUGAUAACAACUCCAAACCACCAAAGUUCAAGUGCCCAAACCGAAGAUGCCACAACCAAGACUUAUCUUGGUAACACGCUUUCAGGCAUUUUGCCAUGUCAUUUCGAAUAUUCAAUAAGAACAUUCUAUUUUUAGACAUUGGCACCUUGGCAAUAAGAUUAUUUUUGCCAUCUCUUAUUGAAAGGUUAUAAUCUCUCAUGUGAAUAUCAUAACCUUUCUCUAAGAGUUGUCCCAAACUCAAGAUAUUAUUUUUCAUAUUGGGCACGUAAUAAACGUUGGAAAUAAAUUCAUGAUUUCCAUUCUUCAAGCGAAUUAAAAUUUUCCCUUUUCCUUUAACUGGAAUUUUAGAUUCAUCACCAAAGGAGACGUUGCCACUUACCGACUCAUCGAGCUCCACAAACAUAUUUCUUUUCCCGCACAUGUGAUUGCUAGCACCAGUGUCGAGGUACCACGUGUCAUCUUGUCUUCCAGCUUCUCCUUUAUAUGCCAGAAGCACACUACCAAUAUCUUGAUUUGUACUUUCGGCGUAAUUGGCCUUCUCUUCAAUCCUUACUUUUUCACUUCUGCACUCGGAAGCAUAGUGCCCAAAUUUAUGGCAAUUAUAACACUUUAUUGAAGAUUUAUCGUACCUCGACUGCGGGUUGCUCCUCCCCCGACCACUUGUAAACUCAUUUCUUUCACCACUAUUGACGAAGCCUCCUCGUCCUCGUCCACGUCCACGACCUCUUCCUCGAUCUUGACCUUGACCACGUCCUCUCCCGAAUUGUCCAUGGCCAUUGCUCGGACCUUCUUCUUUUUCUUUCGGGCUUACUUGCAACUUUAAAAGUUGCUCUGAAAUUUCUUGCUUCUUCUUUUGCUUCUCCUCAUAUGCUUGCAGCGACCCCAACAAGAGAUCGAUCGUCAUCUCCUCCAAAUUUUUAGUUUCUUCGAUCGUCACCACAAUGUGCUCAAACUUUGGGGUUAGUGAGCGCAAUAUUUUCUCCAUAAUUCUUACAUCCUCCAAUUUUUCACCAUUUCUUUUCAUUUGAUUAGACACCGCCAAGACUCUUGAAAAAUAAUCCGAAAUUGACUCGGACUCUUUCAUAUGUAAAGACUCAAACUCUCCUCUUAAAGUUUGAAGUCGUACCUUUUUUACUUGCUCCGCUCCUUUGCACGCGUUCUGGAGCUUCUCCCACGCUUCUUUGGCGGUACUUGCAUUCGAGAUUUUCUCGAAAUCAUCGUCCCCUAGCGCUUGAUAAAUGAGACAGAGAGCCUUCUUGUCUCUCUUUCUCGCGUCUCGCAAUCUAUCCUUUUGUUGUUGGGAUAGUGCGGCCUCGUCCUGCGGCUCCUCGUAGCCAUUCUCCACGAUCUCCCAAACGUCGUGGGCUCCCAAUAGCGCCUUCAUCUUGAUGCUCCAAUUGUCGAAGUUGCUCUUGUUGAGCAUGGGGACUUGAAACGAUUGUAAAUUCGCCAUACCACAAGUAGAAUCUUGUGGCUCUGAUACCACUUUGUUGGAAUUUAAGAAAUAUAUAAAGGAAAAUUUGGCUAAAUUUGGAGGAUAGAGAAUAAAUGUGUAGUGUGUGAGAGGACGUGUGUGUUAGAAAAAAAGAAAAUAGUGAUGAAACUAUUUAUGUGAAUGGGGUAAGUGGACGUAUAGGUGGACUUGUGGGUUUUUUAUUAUACAAACUCACUUUUCUUCACACUCCACCUUUACAACUCAUACACAUAUAUAUAGUUGUCCAAUGUCGGCUACUAAACCGACUUUGCUAAAAAAUCUAGCUAAACCGACCUUGCUAGAAUAAUCUAGCUAAUUUUUUCUUCUAGAUUUCUCCACAAUUUUCCUAAUUUCACACAUGCAUGCAGCUUUCUUUUACUUGGGAAUUAGAUUUCCACUGUCUCGAUUUUUCUAGAUAAUUCCUAUAAUUUAUUUCAAAUCAAGUUUAAUUCUAAC
This 6525-nucleotide long non-coding RNA is filed under the name Salvia miltiorrhiza (redroot sage). RNAcentral describes it as "long non-coding RNA (SMIL_LNC009194)". The record is from RNAcentral. Lineage: Eukaryota; Viridiplantae; Streptophyta; Magnoliopsida; Lamiales; Lamiaceae.